This 464-nucleotide ribosomal RNA is filed under the name Vreelandella stevensii. RNAcentral describes it as "partial 16S ribosomal RNA". It matches the Rfam family "Bacterial small subunit ribosomal RNA", at positions 339 to 795 of the family's 1533-position model. The record is from RNAcentral. Lineage: Bacteria; Pseudomonadati; Pseudomonadota; Gammaproteobacteria; Oceanospirillales; Halomonadaceae.
CUACGGGUGGCUGCAGUGGGGAAUAUUGGACAAUGGGCGAAAGCCUGAUCCAGCCAUGCCGCGUGUGUGAAGAAGGCCUUCGGGUUGUAAAGCACUUUCAGUGGGGAAGAAAGCCUUGGGGCUAAUACCCUCGAGGAAGGACAUCACCCACAGAAGAAGCACCGGCUAACUCCGUGCCAGCAGCCGCGGUAAUACGGAGGGUGCGAGCGUUAAUCGGAAUUACUGGGCGUAAAGCGCGCGUAGGCGGUCUGAUAAGCCGGUUGUGAAAGCCCCGGGCUCAACCUGGGAACGGCAUCCGGAACUGUCAGGCUAGAGUGCAGGAGAGGAAGGUAGAAUUCCCGGUGUAGCGGUGAAAUGCGUAGAGAUCGGGAGGAAUACCAGUGGCGAAGGCGGCCUUCUGGACUGACACUGACGCUGAGGUGCGAAAGCGUGGGUAGCAAACAGGAUUAGAUACCCGAGUAGUC